AAAAUUGAGGGGAAUAGAUAAUAGAAAUUUUUCACACUAGGGACUUAACUUAAAAUAUUAUAAUAAUUUUUUUUUCUUUUUUUUAUAAUAAUAAGGAAGGGAAAUAACAAUGAAAGGGAAAAUAACAUACUUGAAGAGGGAAGGUUGAAAGAACAAGGUUUUCCCCCCCACACUUAUAUGAAACAUUGUCCCCAAUGUUUCAAAGAAAACAAAAGAAAUAGAAAAAAGAAAAAAGAAACUAAAAUCAAUUCUACCUG
This 257-nucleotide long non-coding RNA is filed under the name Lathyrus oleraceus (garden pea). RNAcentral describes it as "Pisum sativum (pea) long non-coding RNA (PSAT_LNC019492)". Lineage: Eukaryota; Viridiplantae; Streptophyta; Magnoliopsida; Fabales; Fabaceae. The record is from RNAcentral.